Molecule: long non-coding RNA, 306 nt
Organism: Aethalodelphis obliquidens (Pacific white-sided dolphin)
Lineage: Eukaryota; Metazoa; Chordata; Mammalia; Artiodactyla; Delphinidae
Exons: 2
Source: RefSeq, a predicted model, not a curated record
CCGAGGUCCUGUGUCUAGGGUCCUGUGUCGACGAGGCCUGAGGUCCUGGGUCUAGUGUUCUGUGGUGAUGAGGCCUGAGGUCCUGGGUCUAUGUCCUGUGUCGAUGAGGCCUGAGGUCCUGGGUCUAGUGUCCUGUGUUGACGAGGCCUGAGGUCCUGGUUGCAAUGUCUUCUCCUGGGAGCCCAGGAGGAGGUGGUUCUAGACAGGUAGUUCCUGCUCUUGGCUAUCUGCCCAGCUGGGCUCGCCCUGAAAGCAGGAAGUGGAGAGGGAUUAAUAGUUAACUAGCAAUAAAGAUGUAUGAAAAAA